This 450-nucleotide ribosomal RNA is filed under the name uncultured prokaryote. Its description in RNAcentral is "bacterial SSU rRNA". It matches the Rfam family "Bacterial small subunit ribosomal RNA", at positions 355 to 796 of the family's 1533-position model. The record is from RNAcentral.
UGAGGAAUAUUGCGCAAUGGGCGAAAGCCUGACGCAGCGACGCCGCGUGGAGGACGAAGGCCUUCGGGUCGUAAACUCCUGUCAAGAGGGACGAAAGUCCUCGGGAUGAAUAAGCUCGGGGAUUGACGGUACCUCUGGAGGAAGCCCCGGCUAACUCCGUGCCAGCAGCCGCGGUAAUACGGAGGGGGCCAGCGUUGUUCGGAAUUAUUGGGCGUAAAGGGCGCGUAGGCGGUUUGGUAAGUCAGUUGUGAAAUCCCUCGGCUCAACCGAGGAAUUGCGUCUGAUACUGCCGAACUCGAGUCCCGGAGAGGGUAGCGGAAUUCCCAGUGUAGCGGUGAAAUGCGUAGAUAUUGGGAGGAACACCAGUGGCGAAGGCGGCUACCUGGACGGGUACUGACGCUGAGGCGCGAAAGCGUGGGGAGCAAACAGGAUUAGAUACCCCCGUAGUCC